UGCAGAGCAGGAGGAGGUUCUUGGGAGCCCAGCUGCUCCAACGCUGUCUUCAGAAUCAACCUCUGGAUCUCCAGCUUGGCCCUCCUGCCUUGAGACAGCGCUACCUGCUGCCGAAACUCCUCCAGAGCUUGUCUCUUGCUCAGCUGCUCCAACUGUUCCACCGAAACCUGCUGGCAGCUCAGUGAACGGCUCAGCUCCAGCAGCUCCUCCUCCACUGUCGUCUGCCUGCGACCCAGGAAACAGACAGACGACCCGAAUCAGAAAGAGUAGAAUGUUAACAUUUGCGUUUCUGUGAAUGGAUACUCAACUUUUUUUUCUUUUUUUAGAUAUUUUCAAUAAAUAAGCAGACGUUGUCAUUUUUUUGCGUUUGUGUGUGUGCACGUGUGUGUAUGAGAAUGCAUAGUCAAAUGUUUAAACAUAUGAGAUGUUAAUGGAUCGUAAUAAAUGUGAUAAAUGUC
Hippocampus zosterae (dwarf seahorse) is the source of this 458-nucleotide long non-coding RNA. RefSeq lists it as uncharacterized. The record is from RefSeq and is a predicted model, not a curated record. The transcript is spliced from 2 exons. Lineage: Eukaryota; Metazoa; Chordata; Actinopteri; Syngnathiformes; Syngnathidae.